GACGAACGCUGGCGGCGUGCUUAACACAUGCAAGUCGAACGGAAAGGCCUCUUUCGGGGGGUACUCGAGUGGCGAACGGGUGAGUAACACGUGAGUAACCUGCCCUUGACUUUGGGAUAACUUCAGGAAACUGGGGCUAAUACCGGAUAGGAGCUCCUGCUGCAUGGUGGGGGUUGGAAAGUUUCGGCGGUUGGGGAUGGACUCGCGGCUUAUCAGCUUGUUGGUGGGGUAGUGGCUUACCAAGGCUUUGACGGGUAGCCGGCCUGAGAGGGUGACCGGCCACAUUGGGACUGAGAUACGGCCCAGACUCCUACGGGAGGCAGCAGUGGGGAAUAUUGCACAAUGGGUGGAAGCCUGAUGCAGCAACGCCGGGUGCGGGAUGACGCCCUUCGGGUUGUAAACCGCUUUCGCUCAUGACGAAGCUUUGUGUGACGGUAGUGGGUAAAGAAGCACCGGCUAACUACGUG
This 467-nucleotide ribosomal RNA is filed under the name uncultured bacterium. RNAcentral describes it as "partial 16S ribosomal RNA". It matches the Rfam family "Bacterial small subunit ribosomal RNA", at positions 28 to 507 of the family's 1533-position model. The record is from RNAcentral.